CAGGAUGAACGCUGGCGGCUGUGCUUAACACAUGCAAGUCGAACGAACCUUCGGGUUAGUGGCGGACGGGUGAGUAACGCGUGAGAAUCUGCCCUCAGGAGGGGGAUAACGGUUGGAAACGACCGCUAAUACCCCAUAUGCCGAGAGGUGAAAUGAAAUUCGCCUGAGGAUGAGCUCGCGUCUGAUUAGCUAGUUGGUGUGGUAAUGGCGCACCAAGGCUUCGAUCAGUAGCUGGUCUGAGAGGAUGAUCAGCCACACUGGGACUGAGACACGGCCCAGACUCCUACGGGAGGCAGCAGUGGGGAAUUUUCCGCAAUGGGCGCAAGCCUGACGGAGCAACGCCGCGUGAGGGAUGAAGGCCUCUGGGCUGUAAACCUCUUUUCUCAAGGAAGAAGAUCUGACGGUACUUGAGGAAUAAGCCACGGCUAAUUCCGUGCCAGCAGCCGCGGUAAUACGGGAGUGGCAAGCGUUAUCCGGAAUUAUUGGGCGUAAAGCGUCCGCAGGCGGCCUCGAAAGUCUGUCGUUAAAGCGUGGAGCUUAACUCCAUUUAAGCGGUGGAAACUACGAGGCUAGAGUGUGGUAGGGGCAGAGGGAAUUCCCGGUGUAGCGGUGAAAUGCGUAGAUAUCGGGAAGAACACCAGUGGCGAAGGCGCUCUGCUGGGCCAUAACUGACGCUCAUGGACGAAAGCCAGGGGAGCGAAAGGGAUUAGAUACCCCUGUAGUCCUGGCCGUAAACGAUGAACACUAGGUGUCGGGGGAAUCGACCCCCUCGGUGUCGUAGCCAACGCGUUAAGUGUUCCGCCUGGGGAGUACGCACGCAAGUGUGAAACUCAAAGGAAUUGACGGGGGCCCGCACAAGCGGUGGAGUAUGUGGUUUAAUUCGAUGCAACGCGAAGAACCUUACCAGGGUUUGACAUCCUGCGAAUCCCUUGGAAACGAGGGAGUGCCUUCGGGAGCGCAGUGACAGGUGGUGCAUGGCUGUCGUCAGCUCGUGUCGUGAGAUGUUGGGUUAAGUCCCGCAACGAGCGCAACCCACGUUUUUAGUUGCCAGCAUUUAGUUGGGCACUCUAGAAAGACUGCCGGUGAUAAACCGGAGGAAGGUGUGGAUGACGUCAAGUCAUCAUGCCCCUUACAUCCUGGGCUACACACGUACUACAAUGCUACGGACAAAGGGCAGCAAACUCGCGAGAGCUAGCAAAUCCCAUAAACCGUGGCUCAGUUCAGAUCGUAGGCUGCAACUCGCCUACGUGAAGGCGGAAUCGCUAGUAAUCGCAGGUCAGCAUACUGCGGUGAAUACGUUCCCGGGCCUUGUACACACCGCCCGUCACACCAUGGAAGUUGGCCACGCCCGAAGUCGUUACUCCAACCCUUGUGGAGGAGGACGCCGAAGGUGGGGCUGAUGACUGGGGUGAAGUCGUA
This 1419-nucleotide ribosomal RNA is filed under the name uncultured Chroococcales cyanobacterium. RNAcentral's name for it is "16S ribosomal RNA". It matches the Rfam family "Bacterial small subunit ribosomal RNA". The record is from RNAcentral. Lineage: Bacteria; Bacillati; Cyanobacteriota; Cyanophyceae; Chroococcales.